UCAGUGAGAGGACUAUGCAAAGGGGCUGAAGAACCAGUGACUUAGGUCUUUAAGGGAAGCAUUCAGUAAGUCAAUUCUCCAAGGGCAUGGAGAUAAAACCCCAGCGUCUCCCCAAGAGUAAACCUACUGGCAAGUGAUAAAUCCCCCACUUCCAGGGCGCUGCCCUUACUGUCUGGCGAGGCCACAGACUGCAGGUGGACAGACAUUAAAAACCAUGGUCAGUGUGAGAAUGAACAUGAUGGAUGGUAUGACAAUUAUGCAACUGCUCCUUCCUCUUUUUCUUUUCUUUCACAUAGAUUGCCCUGUGUGUGACUGACUCCAGAAUAAACAGAUUUUUUAAAGAUCAAGUAUUUCUAACAGUAAAAUGGAUUUCCGGUUUGCACACUGGGGGCACAGGUGGAGGGCUCCCUUGGAGGGAACAGUGCCAUUUGCUGAAGCUGUGAUCCACUGGAGCUAAGGCACCCCCUCUUGGCAGGUACCCCUGCUAGUUUGGAAGGUCUGCAGGGGAAAGACA
This 514-nucleotide long non-coding RNA is filed under the name Pan troglodytes (chimpanzee). RNAcentral describes it as "long non-coding RNA NONPTRT014433". Lineage: Eukaryota; Metazoa; Chordata; Mammalia; Primates; Hominidae. The record is from RNAcentral.